CGUGGCGUUUGCUGAAGGUUUUGUACGGUAGCCAAGUGAAGAAAUAUAGUUAGUAGAAAUUACACAGUGGCCGAUUUAGUAUCUCCAAUUAACCUGUCUGCAUGUCUUUGGGAUUGAGGAAACCGGAGUACGCGGAGGAAACCAAGGUGGACACGGGGAAAACAUGCAAACUCCGCACAGAGCUGAGAUUCGAUAACACGACCUUCUUACUGUGCGGCCACAGCGCUACCCACUGCGCCACCGAUUACAAUGCUUGCUUGGCAAAGCUAUCAAGGAUGAUCAAGGAUGACGUGCCCCUAGCCUCAUAGCUCCAGGCUAGCUCCAGUAAAUAGGCUACUUGCACAACCGCUUCCUUCCCGUAAUUCGUACUGCUCGGUUGUUUCCGGUUUAUCAAUGGCGACCUUCUACACCCGCUGUCAACAGGAGCUCCCAAAGAUAAACAUCACUCGCGUUCAUAGGAUUUUCAAAACGACUAAAGACUCAACCGGAAAAUUGGAGAAAGGCUAUUAAUUAUAUGCCAUGUUGUAUAUUCGUAACUACGAAGCAAUCCGCCAGACCGUCUCCAGAUCUCUUGUGGCACGCUACCAGAAAUGAGGAGGUUUAAUGUGCUUCGACAGAAACCAGAUCUCUUCAGAGGAGAGGUAUACCUAAGAGAAAAGUGCGUGGGGGCGGGUGGGGGGCGGCAAGGUGCGCCCGAAUACCCCUGUACCCCUCUUCGGUUCCGUCACGAUCGCCCUGUACCCCUCUUCGGUUCUGUCACGAUCGCCCUGUACCCCUCUUCGGUUCUGUCACGAUCGCCCUGUACCCCUCUUCGGUUCUGUCACGAUUGCCCUGUACCCCUCCUCAGUUCUGUCACAAUCCACUGUACCCCUCUUCAGUUCUGUCAUGAUUCCCCUGUACCCCUCUUCAGUUCCGUUACGAUCGCCCUGUUCCCCUCAUCAGUCCCAUCACAAUCCCCUGUACCCCUCUUCAGUUCCAUGACAAUUGCCCUCUGCCCUGUGUUCAAGAUAAUAAAUGACCACUGAAUCUUGAAACAAAUGUGUAUUAUUUACGUGUGAAAUAGGACGGAGUGUGGCACAGUGAGUAAGGAACUGGGCUUGUAACCGAAAGGUCGCAGGUUCGAUUCCCGG
This is a long non-coding RNA of Anguilla anguilla (European eel), 1130 nucleotides long. RefSeq lists it as uncharacterized. The record is from RefSeq and is a predicted model, not a curated record. The transcript has 3 exons. NCBI's taxonomy places the organism in Eukaryota, Metazoa, Chordata, Actinopteri, Anguilliformes, Anguillidae.